CCAACGGCUCUUUUAAGAGCCACCCAAAGUUUCCCAAAAAGAGCUG
This is a non-coding RNA of Gallus gallus (chicken), 46 nucleotides long. Lineage: Eukaryota; Metazoa; Chordata; Aves; Galliformes; Phasianidae. The record is from Rfam.